CAAUAGUGUAUAUUAAAGUUGUUGCGGUUAAAAAGCUCGUAGUUGAACAUCGUUAUGGAAUCUAAAUUAAUAUCAUCAUAAGAUGAUUUAAUAUUAGAUGAAAUAACUUAUAGACUGUAUUUGGGACUCGACGAGGUAAUUGUCAUCCUAACAGUCCAUUUUACUUUGAGGAAAUUAGAGUGUUUAAAGCAUUGUCUUAUGGACAAGAUAUAUUUUAGCAUAGAAUAAAUUGAUUUCAUUUUUUAUUCUCUUUGAUGAAUUAGGAGUUUUGAAAAAUGAAAAUGAAAAGAAACUAUUGGGGGUAUUUGUAUUCGACAGCUAGAGGUGAAAUUCUUGAAUUUGUCGAGGACAAACUAAGGCGAAAGCAUAUACCUAAUUAGUUUUCAUUGA
This 390-nucleotide ribosomal RNA is filed under the name uncultured eukaryote. RNAcentral's name for it is "partial 18S ribosomal RNA". It matches the Rfam family "Eukaryotic small subunit ribosomal RNA", at positions 592 to 976 of the family's 1831-position model. The record is from RNAcentral.